This 85-nucleotide transfer RNA is filed under the name Klebsiella pneumoniae. Its description in RNAcentral is "tRNA-Tyr". It matches the Rfam family "tRNA". From Rfam's summary of the family: Transfer RNA (tRNA) molecules are approximately 80 nucleotides in length. RNAcentral also lists the same sequence under 2 other names. The record is from RNAcentral. Lineage: Bacteria; Pseudomonadati; Pseudomonadota; Gammaproteobacteria; Enterobacterales; Enterobacteriaceae.
GGACGGGUAGCGAAGUCUGGUUAAACGCGGCGGACCGUAAAUCCGCUCUCUUACGAGUUCAUAGGUUCAAAUCCUAUCCCGUCCA